This 2923-nucleotide ribosomal RNA is filed under the name Klebsiella pneumoniae. RNAcentral describes it as "bacterial LSU rRNA". It matches the Rfam family "Bacterial large subunit ribosomal RNA". Lineage: Bacteria; Pseudomonadati; Pseudomonadota; Gammaproteobacteria; Enterobacterales; Enterobacteriaceae. The record is from RNAcentral.
GGGUUGUGAGGUUAAGCGACUAAGCGUACACGGUGGAUGCCCUGGCAGUCAGAGGCGAUGAAGGACGUGCUAAUCUGCGAAAAGCGUCGGUAAGGUGAUAUGAACCGUUAUAGCCGGCGAUGUCCGAAUGGGGAAACCCAGUGCAAUUCGUUGCACUAUCGUUAACUGAAUACAUAGGUUAACGAGGCGAACCGGGGGAACUGAAACAUCUAAGUACCCCGAGGAAAAGAAAUCAACCGAGAUUCCCCCAGUAGCGGCGAGCGAACGGGGAGCAGCCCAGAGUCUGAAUCAGCUUGUGUGUUAGUGGAACGGUCUGGAAAGUCCGACGGUACAGGGUGAUAGUCCCGUACACCAAAAUGCACAGGCUAUGAACUCGAAGAGUAGGGCGGGACACGUGGUAUCCUGUCUGAAUAUGGGGGGACCAUCCUCCAAGGCUAAAUACUCCUGACUGACCGAUAGUGAACCAGUACCGUGAGGGAAAGGCGAAAAGAACCCCGGCGAGGGGAGUGAAAAAGAACCUGAAACCGUGUACGUACAAGCAGUGGGAGCACCUUCGGGUGUGACUGCGUACCUUUUGUAUAAUGGGUCAGCGACUUAUAUUCUGUAGCAAGGUUAACCGUAUAGGGGAGCCGCAGGGAAACCGAGUCUUAACUGGGCGUUAAGUUGCAGGGUAUAGACCCGAAACCCGGUGAUCUAGCCAUGGGCAGGUUGAAGGUUGGGUAACACUAACUGGAGGACCGAACCGACUAAUGUUGAAAAAUUAGCGGAUGACUUGUGGCUGGGGGUGAAAGGCCAAUCAAACCGGGAGAUAGCUGGUUCUCCCCGAAAGCUAUUUAGGUAGCGCCUCGUGAACUCAUCUUCGGGGGUAGAGCACUGUUUCGGCUAGGGGGUCAUCCCGACUUACCAACCCGAUGCAAACUACGAAUACCGAAGAAUGUUAUCACGGGAGACACACGGCGGGUGCUAACGUCCGUCGUGAAGAGGGAAACAACCCAGACCGCCAGCUAAGGUCCCAAAGUCAUGGUUAAGUGGGAAACGAUGUGGGAAGGCACAGACAGCCAGGAUGUUGGCUUAGAAGCAGCCAUCAUUUAAAGAAAGCGUAAUAGCUCACUGGUCGAGUCGGCCUGCGCGGAAGAUGUAACGGGGCUAAACCAUGCACCGAAGCUGCGGCAGCGACACUAUGUGUUGUUGGGUAGGGGAGCGUUCUGUAAGCCUGCGAAGGUGACCUGUGAGGGUUGCUGGAGGUAUCAGAAGUGCGAAUGCUGACAUAAGUAACGAUAAAGCGGGUGAAAAGCCCGCUCGCCGGAAGACCAAGGGUUCCUGUCCAACGUUAAUCGGGGCAGGGUGAGUCGACCCCUAAGGCGAGGCCGAAAGGCGUAGUCGAUGGGAAACAGGUUAAUAUUCCUGUACUUGGUGUUACUGCGAAGGGGGGACGGAGAAGGCUAUGUUAGCCGGGCGACGGUUGUCCCGGUUUAAGCAUGUAGGCUGGUUGUCCAGGCAAAUCCGGAUAAUCAAGGCUGAGGUGUGAUGACGAGGCACUACGGUGCUGAAGUAACAAAUGCCCUGCUUCCAGGAAAAGCCUCUAAGCAUCAGGUAACAUCAAAUCGUACCCCAAACCGACACAGGUGGUCAGGUAGAGAAUACCAAGGCGCUUGAGAGAACUCGGGUGAAGGAACUAGGCAAAAUGGUGCCGUAACUUCGGGAGAAGGCACGCUGGUGUGUAGGUGAAGCCCCUGCGGGUGGAGCUGAGACCAGUCGAAGAUACCAGCUGGCUGCAACUGUUUAUUAAAAACACAGCACUGUGCAAACACGAAAGUGGACGUAUACGGUGUGACGCCUGCCCGGUGCCGGAAGGUUAAUUGAUGGGGUUAUCCGUAAGGAGAAGCUCUUGAUCGAAGCCCCGGUAAACGGCGGCCGUAACUAUAACGGUCCUAAGGUAGCGAAAUUCCUUGUCGGGUAAGUUCCGACCUGCACGAAUGGCGUAAUGAUGGCCAGGCUGUCUCCACCCGAGACUCAGUGAAAUUGAACUCGCUGUGAAGAUGCAGUGUACCCGCGGCAAGACGGAAAGACCCCGUGAACCUUUACUAUAGCUUGACACUGAACAUUGAGCCUUGAUGUGUAGGAUAGGUGGGAGGCUUUGAAGCGUGGACGCCAGUCUGCGUGGAGCCAACCUUGAAAUACCACCCUUUAAUGUUUGAUGUUCUAACGUUGGCCCCUUACCGGGGUUGCGGACAGUGUCUGGUGGGUAGUUUGACUGGGGCGGUCUCCUCCCAAAGCGUAACGGAGGAGCACGAAGGUUAGCUAAUCCUGGUCGGACAUCAGGAGGUUAGUGCAAUGGCAUAAGCUAGCUUGACUGCGAGCGUGACGGCGCGAGCAGGUGCGAAAGCAGGUCAUAGUGAUCCGGUGGUUCUGAAUGGAAGGGCCAUCGCUCAACGGAUAAAAGGUACUCCGGGGAUAACAGGCUGAUACCGCCCAAGAGUUCAUAUCGACGGCGGUGUUUGGCACCUCGAUGUCGGCUCAUCACAUCCUGGGGCUGAAGUAGGUCCCAAGGGUAUGGCUGUUCGCCAUUUAAAGUGGUACGCGAGCUGGGUUUAGAACGUCGUGAGACAGUUCGGUCCCUAUCUGCCGUGGGCGCUGGAGAAUUGAGGGGGGCUGCUCCUAGUACGAGAGGACCGGAGUGGACGCAUCACUGGUGUUCGGGUUGUCAUGCCAAUGGCACUGCCCGGUAGCUAAAUGCGGAAGAGAUAAGUGCUGAAAGCAUCUAAGCACGAAACUUGCCCCGAGAUGAGUUCUCCCUGAGACUUUAAGUCUCCUGAAGGAACGUUAAAGACGAUGACGUUGAUAGGCCGGGUGUGUAAGCGCAGCGAUGCGUUGAGCUAACCGGUACUAAUGAACCGUGAGGCUUAACCUUACAACGCCGAAG